This 252-nucleotide ribosomal RNA is filed under the name uncultured bacterium. RNAcentral describes it as "partial 16S ribosomal RNA". It matches the Rfam family "Bacterial small subunit ribosomal RNA", at positions 524 to 776 of the family's 1533-position model. The record is from RNAcentral.
UACGGAGGAUGCGAGCGUUAUCCGGAUUUAUUGGGUUUAAAGGGUGCGCAGGCGGCACGGCAAGCCGGCGGUCAAAUCGCGGGGCUCAACCCCGCCCAGCCGUCGGAACUGCCGGGCUAGAGUGGGCGAGAAGUGCGCGGAAUGCGUGGUGUAGCGGUGAAAUGCAUAGAUAUCACGCAGAACUCCGAUUGCGAAGGCAGCGCACCGGCGCCCUACUGACGCUGAAGCACGAAGGCGUGGGUAUCGAACAGG